GACGAACGCUGGCGGCGUGCCUAAUACAUGCAAGUCGAACGCUUCUUUCCUCCCGAGUGCUUGCACUCAAUUGGAAAGAGGAGUGGCGGACGGGUGAGUAACACGUGGGUAACCUACCCAUCAGAGGGGGAUAACACUUGGAAACAGGUGCUAAUACCGCAUAACAGUUUAUGCCGCAUGGCAUAAGAGUGAAAGGCGCUUUCGGGUGUCGUUGAUGGAUGGACCCGCGGUGCAUUAGCUAGUUGGUGAGGUAACGGCUCACCAAGGCCACGAUGCAUAGCCGACCUGAGAGGGUGAUCGGCCACACUGGGACUGAGACACGGCCCAGACUCCUACGGGAGGCAGCAGUAGGGAAUCUUCGGCAAUGGGCGAAAGUCUGACCGAGCAACGCCGCGUGAGUGAAGAAGGUUUUCGGAUCGUAAAACUCUGUUGUUAGAGAAGAACAAGGACGUUAGUAACUGAACGUCCCCUGACGGUAUCUAACCAGAAAGCCACGGCUAACUACGUG
This 508-nucleotide ribosomal RNA is filed under the name uncultured bacterium. RNAcentral describes it as "partial 16S ribosomal RNA". It matches the Rfam family "Bacterial small subunit ribosomal RNA", at positions 28 to 507 of the family's 1533-position model. The record is from RNAcentral.